GACGUAGGGCGCGAGCGUUGUCCGGAUUUAUUGGGCGUAAAGAGCUCGUAGGCGGUUCGUCGCGUCGGCUGUGAAAUCCCGGAGCUCAACUCCGGGUCUGCAGUCGAUACGGGCGGACUUGAGUUCGGCAGGGGAGACUGGAAUUCCUGGUGUAGCAGUGAAAUGCGUAGAUAUCAGGAGGAACACCGAUGGCGAAGGCAGGUCUCUGGGCUGACACUGACGCUCAUGCACGAAAGCGUGGGGAGCAAACAGG
RNAcentral lists this ribosomal RNA (253 nucleotides) under uncultured bacterium. Its description in RNAcentral is "partial 16S ribosomal RNA". It matches the Rfam family "Bacterial small subunit ribosomal RNA", at positions 524 to 776 of the family's 1533-position model. The record is from RNAcentral.